AUGCAAGUCGAACGAGCACUUUAUUUGAUUUCCUUCGGGAUUGAUUAUUUUGUGACUGAGUGGCGGACGGGUGAGUAACGCGUGGGUAACCUGCCUUGUACAGGGGGAUAACAGUUGGAAACGGCUGCUAAUACCGCAUAAGCGCACAGCAUCGCAUGAUGCAGUGUGAAAAGCUCCGGUGGUAUAAGAUGGACCCGCGUUGGAUUAGCUAGUUGGUGAGGUAACGGCCCACCAAGGCGACGAUCCAUAGCCGACCUGAGAGGGUGACCGGCCACAUUGGGACUGAGACACGGCCCAAACUCCUACGGGAGGCAGCAGUGGGGAAUAUUGCACAAUGGGCGAAAGCCUGAUGCAGCGACGCCGCGUGAGCGAAGAAGUAUUUCGGUAUGUAAAGCUCUAUCAGCAGGGAAGAUAAUGACGGUACCUGACUAAGAAGCACCGGCUAAAUACGUGCCAGCAGCCGCGGUAAUACGUAUGGUGCAAGCGUUAUCCGGAUUUACUGGGUGUAAAGGGAGCGCAGGCGGUGCGGCAAGUCUGAUGUGAAAGCCCGGGGCUCAACCCCGGUACUGCAUUGGAAACUGUCGUACUAGAGUGUCGGAGGGGUAAGCGGAAUUCCUAGUGUAGCGGUGAAAUGCGUAGAUAUUAGGAGGAACACCAGUGGCGAAGGCGGCUU
This 673-nucleotide ribosomal RNA is filed under the name uncultured Lachnospiraceae bacterium. RNAcentral describes it as "bacterial SSU rRNA". It matches the Rfam family "Bacterial small subunit ribosomal RNA", at positions 55 to 727 of the family's 1533-position model. Lineage: Bacteria; Bacillati; Bacillota; Clostridia; Lachnospirales; Lachnospiraceae. The record is from RNAcentral.